AUUCCAGCUCCAAGAGCGUAUAUUAAAGUUGUUGCAGUUAAAAAGCUCGUAGUUGGAUUUCUGGUCUAAUGCGCCUGGCCCGCUGCCGUUAGGUAUGUGAGUGCCGGUGCGCGUUUACCAUCCUUCCAGAGAACACUUCUACCAUUUAUUUGGACGGAUGUUGUCUUCUGGAUCUUUUACUUUGAAAAAAUUAGAGUGUUUAAAGCAGGCCUUUGCUGUGAAUACAUUAGCAUGGAAUAAUAAUCUAGGACUUCGGUUCUAUUUUGUUGGUUUCUAGUACUGAAGUAAUGAUUGAUAGGGAUAGUUGGGGGUAUUCAUAUUUGAUUGUCAGAGGUGAAAUUCUUGGAUUUUUCAAAGAUGAACAAGUGCGAAAGCAUUUACCAAGGAUGUUUUCAUUA
RNAcentral lists this ribosomal RNA (398 nucleotides) under Cryomonadida sp. RNAcentral describes it as "partial small subunit ribosomal RNA". It matches the Rfam family "Eukaryotic small subunit ribosomal RNA", at positions 582 to 975 of the family's 1831-position model. The record is from RNAcentral. Lineage: Eukaryota; Cercozoa; Thecofilosea; Cryomonadida.